This 41-nucleotide ribosomal RNA is filed under the name Fukomys damarensis (Damara mole-rat). The record is from RNAcentral. Lineage: Eukaryota; Metazoa; Chordata; Mammalia; Rodentia; Bathyergidae.
CUGAAUGUGCCCGAUCCCAUCUGAUCUUGAAAGCUAAGCAG